This 439-nucleotide ribosomal RNA is filed under the name uncultured bacterium. Its description in RNAcentral is "partial 16S ribosomal RNA". It matches the Rfam family "Bacterial small subunit ribosomal RNA", at positions 339 to 795 of the family's 1533-position model. The record is from RNAcentral.
CUACGGGGUGCACCAGUGAGGAAUAUUGCACAAUGGGGGGAACCCUGAUGCAGCAACGCCGCGUGGAGGAUGACGCAUUUCGGUGUGUAAACUCCUUUUAUAUGUCAAGAAAAUGACGGUAGCAUAUGAAUAAGCACCGGCUAACUCCGUGCCAGCAGCCGCGGUAAUACGGAGGGUGCAAGCGUUACUCGGAAUCACUGGGCGUAAAGGACGCGUAGGCGGGUUGGAAAGUCAGGUGUGAAAUCCUACAGCUUAACUGUAGAACUGCACUUGAAACUUCUAAUCUAGAGUAUGGGAGGGGGAGAGGGAAUUAGUGGUGUAGGGGUAAAAUCCGUAGAUAUCACUAGGAAUACCUAAAGCGAAGGCGAUCUCCUGGAACAUUACUGACGCUAAGGCGUGAAAGCGUGGGGAGCAAACAGGAUUAGAUACCCCAGUAGUC